UACGGAGGGUGCGAGCGUUGUCCGGAAUCAUUGGGCGUAAAGGGCGCGUAGGUGGCCCGGUCAGUUCGUGGUGAAAGCGCGGGGCUCAACCCUGCGUCGGCCAUGAAUACUGCCGCGGCUGGAGCACUGUAGAGGCAGGCGGAAUUCCGGGGUGUAGCGGUGGAAUGCGUAGAGAUCCGGAAGAACACCGGUGGCGAAGGGCGGCCUGCUGGGCGAGGUCGCUGACACUUGAGGCGCGACAGCGUGGG
This 248-nucleotide ribosomal RNA is filed under the name uncultured bacterium. RNAcentral describes it as "partial 16S ribosomal RNA". It matches the Rfam family "Bacterial small subunit ribosomal RNA", at positions 524 to 765 of the family's 1533-position model. The record is from RNAcentral.